AAGAAAAAGAAGAAGAAGAAGAGUAUUAACGCGCGAGAAUUGGAUCGAGAACACCUUUCGAGUUCCACGCAUGCCUGUUGCACCUGCGAAUCGCGUCGUCCGUCGUGCGAUCCUCGCUCGUGUCGCACACUCAUUACACGUCGAUGGUCGAUAUCGAUCGUUAGACGAGUAAGAGAGUAAAAAUUUAACGAAUCGAGAUCGAGGGGAUCGUGGUGGCAACGUUUUCUUUAAUCAUCCGUGACCCGAAAUCCAAGGUAUUUGAGAAGUAUCGUUGAAAUUCCACGGAUGGAAAGGAGCGGUCAAGCCACGGAUGGAAUCGGGCCGUGGAAAAUGGAAAACGGGCACAACAACUCGCGACCCAAAAAUACUUGAUAAAAAUCACCACGGUCGUUACGAAGAGCGCAGCUGCAAGCAUCACCAAAGAAAACACACGGAAAUAGAGCGGACACGAAGCUAGAGCGCGUACACUUUGAGCGCGCGCGAGUGAGCCGAGCCGCUUGUGUCACCGAUUGCGAGAUCGAGAAGGAGGAAGCGAGAGAUGGAGCGAAAUUUCCGAGAAAUUCGAGAAAUCCG
This is a long non-coding RNA of Apis dorsata (giant honeybee), 573 nucleotides long. RefSeq lists it as uncharacterized. The record is from RefSeq and is a predicted model, not a curated record. The transcript has 4 exons. Lineage: Eukaryota; Metazoa; Arthropoda; Insecta; Hymenoptera; Apidae.